UACGUAGGUGGCAAGCGUUGUCCGGAUUUACUGGGCGUAAAGAGCGCGCAGGCGGUCGGAUCAGGCGAAUGGGAAAGCCCCCGGCUCAACUGGGGAGGGUCAUUCGAUACUGUCCGACUCGAAGGCAGGAGAGGGAAGCGGAAUUCCCGGUGUAGUGGUGAAAUGCGUAGAUAUCGGGAGGAACACCAGUGGCGAAGGCGGCUUUCUGGCCUGUUCUUGACGCUGAGGCGCGAAAGCUAGGGGAGCGAACGGG
Molecule: ribosomal RNA, 253 nt
Filed under: uncultured bacterium
Lineage: Bacteria
Description: partial 16S ribosomal RNA
Rfam family: Bacterial small subunit ribosomal RNA
Source: RNAcentral